RNAcentral lists this long non-coding RNA (2384 nucleotides) under Mus pahari (shrew mouse). RNAcentral's name for it is "predicted gene 17056 (MGP_PahariEiJ_G0003853.1)". Lineage: Eukaryota; Metazoa; Chordata; Mammalia; Rodentia; Muridae. The record is from RNAcentral.
AGGAACAACCACGAAGGCAGGGGCAGAGUGUCACUACCUAUUCCGUGUCACACUAACUUGGCCUUCCUGCCCAGCUCCACUGGGCAGAUUUCCUUUUGAUGGAUCCCUUUCUGAUCCUGGAACUGAGACACGUUUUGGUAUCAAAGCAGAAAAAUAACUCACACCAUAUUGUAUGCUACAAACUCAGAAUUGUUUACCAACGAAGGCUGAACUCAAAGCUUAAUAAGGUGCUUCCUUGAGCGAGUCACGGCCACUUACAAACGGCAUUCCUGAGUUCAUGCCUCAGAGUCAGGAGGUAAUUUUUAAAAUCAAGUCUGCAUCUUUUCUAUGAGCAGUCGAAAAGCACAGAAUACAUGCAAUGAAAACCCCAAGGACUCAAAAAUCACCAUUCGGUCUCAGUAAGAAAUAGCAUGCAAAUUACUUACAAAAACGUGAGCCUCCACUGCUCGGUUUCCUAGAAAAGACAGAUACUUAGGAACAACUACAGCCAAACUUUCUACCAGUUCUGUAAUUCGUUCUUGAUCUUCCUGCUGCUCACAAGUGCUCCCCUGAGGCCCAUAAACCCAGCACAUAAUUCGUGGUCUAUAUUUAGUGUAAAUGUAGCCAAGCGAUAACAAGAUUCCCUGCCCGGGGAUUCCCCUAUAAUGUCUGAGAGUUUAAGAUACGCAUUGCGGAAACUUUGCUUUAAAAACAACAAACCAGCAAGACUUGAUUCAGUUGGUAACUGAUGUGGUUCUUACGAAGCUCAAGUUGAAAGUCCUUAUUCAGUGGAAGUGGCUGUAUCAGCCGACAGCACAUUGCUAGCACUUCUGCUGGGGUGUGCUCCUGUGUAUAAAUACCCUGCAGCAGGCAGGAGCUGCCGCUGGGACAGCUGGUGUGCAGAGACCUCAGUAAACAAGGAGACUAGCUGUGAUAACACAACUAGUGUAAUGGCUGAUGUGUUCCAUUCCUGUAUCCAAAAUAAGUCAGCUUUCUACUAGUCCCGUUUCAGACCUCUGAUCUAGGCUUACAGCAGUAGAAAACAUGGUAACAGGUACAGCUGAAAGACGAGACCUAGUCUCAUGAGGCCAAGCAGCAAAGGAGAAGAAAGGGCCAAUGACUUGUCUUCAACCAAGUCUCAUGCCUAAAGAUCCACCAUCCUCCAGUGGUUCCAGCAAGUGACCAAGCAAGCCUUCUACACUUUUCUUUAAGGAGACUUCAGAGAUCUAAACUAUAGCAGCGGGUCCGGGGAUUCCCGGGCCUUCAUUUAGCUUUACAAAAAGUGUUUGUUUGUGGGUGCAAAGAUUGCACACCUCAGCAUCCCAUCCAAAAUGAGCUCUUCUAAGCUUCGGAAGCUCACCUGCCUUUUGGGAAUAACCAGUCUUGUUUCCUUUCCACAAGUGGCAGGCAGUUUCUGCCCUCUGGUGUACACAAAAGGUACUACAGUGAGAACUGGGGUCUGCCAGCUCCGGGUGACAGAUGACACAGUUUGGAUGGAAACAGACUUGCAGUUGUUUAUGAUCUGCCUUCGCUCACCACCGUUGCCUGCUCAUUAUAUAGCUCUGUGUGUUCCAGUUUCCCUUACAUGGUUCUUUAGGGACAUUAUUAUACUUUCGGAAAACAGGAAUCACAUUUUUUGGUCCUCCCAUAGCUUGAGAACCAAGAAGACCAUGCACUUGAUACCUUUAUCAUUAUGUGCUGUCACAUGUCUUAAAACUAAGCUCAGAAAAGAUGAAGAUGUUCCCAUCAUCUAGUCAUGCAGGUCAAAAAUCAAAACUCUUCUAACUACUCAAUCUGUCCCGAAUCCCCUAUCAUCUCCGAAGCACUUGCUGCAGUUUUGAACGCUGUUUUCCCCUUCUUCUAACGUUAUAACCCUCAAGUACUAGUCCUCCAGAGAUGGGAAAGAGCCUAAGAACUCCACUGCCAGGGAGGCUAAAGUGGCAGAGAUGAGACAACUCCACGCAUGCGUCCAUCCGUCACACCUGUCUGAAGGUGCCUGGCUUUAGACUCCUAGACAACGACUUGACCAGAAUGAUGGCUCUCUUAAUAUUGACAUGCUGCUUUUAAGUUUUGAAUCAGCAGAAAACAUGUCUGGGGCCUUACAUUUCCUUUCAAAUGCCUCUCAUGGUAUUCAGUCAAUUCCCAGGAAAUCCAAUAAAUGCCAUCACAGAGUUGAGUCUAUUGUUGAUUGCUUUGAAAUUAAUUCUUGUGCUACAGUAAUUUGGCUGAGAAUCAGUGAUUGGCUGGCUGGUCAACCACAGAGCACUUCACGACUUUCAACUCAGUUCUUAAACAUCAGGUUCUUAGCAAUUGUUGCCAGCAGAAGUUACUCAAUGAUUUCUUAAGAUCUCCAUCUUUGUAAUCUCAAGCGUAGGUUAAGUGCUUAUUUCUCACUCCUCAAACUC